Clonostachys rhizophaga is the source of this 144-nucleotide non-coding RNA. NCBI's taxonomy places the organism in Eukaryota, Fungi, Ascomycota, Sordariomycetes, Hypocreales, Bionectriaceae. The record is from the annotation of a GenBank genome assembly.
GGGCGUGUGGUCUAGGGGUAUGGCGUUCGGUAUGUUUUCCAAUUGCCGAAAAGAAUCAUUUGGACAGUAAUUAACAGGAAUAGCUUCGCAUCUUCUCUGAUAGCGCUUUGCGAAAGGUCCGGGGUUCAAUUCCCCGUUCGUCCA